CAGCCGCCGCGGUAAUACGAAGGGGGCUAGCGUUACUCGGAAUUACUGGGCGUAAAGGGCGCGUAGGCGGCACGAUUAGUCAGGCGUGAAAUUCCUGGGCUCAACCUGGGGACUGCGCUUGAUACGGUCGAGCUAGAGGAUGGAAGAGGGUCGUGGAAUUCCCAGUGUAGAGGUGAAAUUCGUAGAUAUUGGGAAGAACACCGGUGGCGAAGGCGGCGACCUGGUCCAUUACUGACGCUGAGGCGCGACAGCGUGGGGAGCAAACAGGAUUAGAUACCCCUGUAGUCCCUGUCUCUUAUAC
This 301-nucleotide ribosomal RNA is filed under the name uncultured bacterium. Its description in RNAcentral is "partial 16S ribosomal RNA". It matches the Rfam family "Bacterial small subunit ribosomal RNA", at positions 509 to 807 of the family's 1533-position model. The record is from RNAcentral.